AGCUUUGCGCAGUGGCAGUAUCGUAGCCAAUGAGGUUUAUCCGAGGCGCGAUUAUUGCUAAUUGAAAAAAAAUAAAAAUAAAAU
Bos grunniens (domestic yak) is the source of this 84-nucleotide small nuclear RNA. Its record names the gene U4. It matches the Rfam family "U4 spliceosomal RNA". From Rfam's summary of the family: U4 small nuclear RNA (U4 snRNA) is a component of the major U2-dependent spliceosome. The structure of U4 snRNA from yeast and human has been reported. Lineage: Eukaryota; Metazoa; Chordata; Mammalia; Artiodactyla; Bovidae. The record is from Ensembl.